GCUGGCGGCACGCCUAACACAUGCAAGUCGAGCGGGGUAGCAAUACCUAGCGGCAGACGGGUGCGUAACAUGUGGGAAUCUGCCUUUUGGUUCGGAACAACACGGGGAAACCUGUGCUAAUACCGGAUAAGUCCUAACGGAGAAAGUUUUAAUGCCAAAAGAUGAGCCCGCAUUUGAUUAGCUAGUUGGUGAGGUAAAAGCUCACCAAGGCGAUAAUCAAUAGCUGAUUUGAGAGGAUGAUCAGCCACACUGGGACUGAGAUACGGCCCAGACUCCUACGGGAGGCAGCAGUGGGGAAUCUUGCACAAUGGGCGAAAGCCUGAUGCAGCGAUGCCGCGUGAGUGAAGAAGGCCCUUGGGUUGUAAAGCUCUUUUGUCGGGAAAGAUAAUGACUGUACCCGAAGAAUAAGGUCCGGCUAACUUCGUGCCAGCAGCCGCGGUAAUACGAAGGGACCUAGCGUAGUUCGGAAUUACUGGGCGUAAAGAGUAUGUAGGCGGCUAGAUAAGUUAAUUGUGAAAGCCCAAAGCUUAACUUUGGAAUUGCGAUUAAAACUAUUUAGCUAGAGUAUGAUAGAGGAAAGCGGAAUACAUAGUGUAGAGGUGAAAUUCGUAGAUAUUAUGUAGAACACCAGUUGCGAAGGCGGCUUUCUGGAUCAUUACUGACGCUGAGAUACGAAAGUAUGGGUAGCGAAGAGGAUUAGAUACCCUCGUAGUCCAUACCAUAA
Molecule: ribosomal RNA, 724 nt
Filed under: uncultured Pseudomonadota bacterium
Lineage: Bacteria; Pseudomonadati; Pseudomonadota
Description: bacterial SSU rRNA
Rfam family: Bacterial small subunit ribosomal RNA
Source: RNAcentral